GUCUUCAUGGCUUAGUUGGUUAAAGCGUCGGUCUCGUGCGUCUUCCUAAUCCUUUCAAAAUCGGACGUUAGCUAACCUUUCUCACAGAUAUGUGAAUACAUAUGAUCGAAUCUAAAGUUCGAGCAAUCCGAAGGUCGUGAGUUCGAGUCUCACUGAGGACA
This 161-nucleotide transfer RNA is filed under the name Tolypocladium ophioglossoides CBS 100239. It matches the Rfam family "tRNA". From Rfam's summary of the family: Transfer RNA (tRNA) molecules are approximately 80 nucleotides in length. The record is from Rfam by way of RNAcentral. Lineage: Eukaryota; Fungi; Ascomycota; Sordariomycetes; Hypocreales; Ophiocordycipitaceae.